RNAcentral lists this ribosomal RNA (460 nucleotides) under uncultured bacterium. Its description in RNAcentral is "partial 16S ribosomal RNA". It matches the Rfam family "Bacterial small subunit ribosomal RNA", at positions 338 to 795 of the family's 1533-position model. The record is from RNAcentral.
CCUACGGGCGGCAGCAGUGAGGAAUAUUGGUCAAUGGGCGUAAGCCUGACCCAGCCAAGUCGCGUGAGGGAUGAAGGUUCUAUGGAUCGUAAACCUCUUUUAUAAGGGAAUAAAGUGCGGGAGGUGUCCCGUUUUGUAUGUACCUUAUGAAUAAGGAUCGGCUAACUCCGUGCCAGCAGCCGCGGUAAUACGGAGGAUCCGAGCGUUACCCGGAUUUAUUGGGUUUAAAGUGUGCGUAGGCGGGCUUUUAAGUCAGCGGUGAAAGCCUGUGGCUCAACCAUAGAAUUGCCGUUGAAACUGGGAGGCUGGAGUGUGUUAGAGGCAGGCGGAAUGCGUGGUGUAGCGGUGAAAUGCGUAGAUAUCACGCAGAACCCCGAUUGCGAAGGCAGCUUGCCAAGCCAUGACUGACGCUGAUGCACGAAAGCGUGGGGAUCAAACAGGAUUAGAUACCCCAGUAGUC